Long non-coding RNA from Oncorhynchus tshawytscha (Chinook salmon), 626 nucleotides. NCBI's taxonomy places the organism in Eukaryota, Metazoa, Chordata, Actinopteri, Salmoniformes, Salmonidae. The record is from Ensembl.
GUGGGGCGGCAGGGUAGCCUAGUGGUUAGAGCGGGUAGCCUAGUGGUUAGAGCAGGUAGCCUAGUGGUUAGAGUGUAGAGGGGUGGUAGGUAGCCUAGUGGUUAGAGUGGAGGAACAGCAGGUAGCCUAGUGGUUAGAGUGGAGGGACAGCAGGUAGCCUAGUGGUUAGAGUGGAGGGACGGCAGGUAGCCUAGUGGUUAGAGUGGAGGGACAGCAGGUAGCCUAGUGGUUAGAGUGGAGGGGCGGCAGGUAGCCUAGUGGUUAGAGUGUAGGGGUGGUAGGUAGACUAGUGCCUAGUGGUUAGGGGCGGUAGGUAGCCUAGUGGUUAGAGUGGAGGUGUGGUAGGUAGCCCAGUGGUUAGAGUGGAGGGGUGGUAGGUAGCCAAGUGGUUAGAGUGGAGGUGUGGUAGGUAGCCCAGUGGUUAGAGUGGAGGGGUGGUAGGUAGCCUAGUGGUUAGAGUGGAGGGGUGGCAGGUAGCCUAGUGGUUAGAGUGGAGGGGUGGUAGGUAGCCAAGUAGUUAGAGCGUUGGCCAGUAACCGAAAGGUUGCCAGAUUGAAUCCCUGAGCUGACAAGGUAAAAAUCUGUCGUUCUGCCCCUGAACAGGCAGUUAACCCACUUGUUCCCCG